UAACCUACCUCAUAUGGGGGAUAACAGUCGGAAACGACUGCUAAUACCGCAUAGGACAUGGAAUCACAUGAUUCUGUGAGGAAAGGUGGCGCAAGCUAUCGCUAAGAGAUGGACCCGCGGUGCAUUAGCUAGUUGGUAGGGUAACGGCCUACCAAGGCGAUGAUGCAUAGCCGACCUGAGAGGGUGAUCGGCCACAUUGGGACUGAGACACGGCCCAA
RNAcentral lists this ribosomal RNA (218 nucleotides) under uncultured bacterium. Its description in RNAcentral is "partial 16S ribosomal RNA". It matches the Rfam family "Bacterial small subunit ribosomal RNA", at positions 122 to 334 of the family's 1533-position model. The record is from RNAcentral.